RNAcentral lists this ribosomal RNA (737 nucleotides) under uncultured bacterium. Its description in RNAcentral is "bacterial SSU rRNA". It matches the Rfam family "Bacterial small subunit ribosomal RNA", at positions 8 to 796 of the family's 1533-position model. The record is from RNAcentral.
AGAGUUUGAUCCUGGCUCAGAACGAACGCUGGCGGCAGUAACACAUGCAAGUCGAACGCUCCGCAAGGAGAGUGGCAGACGGGUGAGUAACGCGUGGGAAUCUACCCAACCCUGCGGAAUAGCUCCGGGAAACUGGAAUUAAUACCGCAUACGCCCUUCGGGGGAAAGAUUUAUCGGGGAUGGAUGAGCCCGCGUUGGAUUAGCUAGUUGGUGGGGUAAAGGCCUACCAAGGCGACGAUCCAUAGCUGGUCUGAGAGGAUGAUCAGCCACAUUGGGACUGAGACACGGCCCAAACUCCUACGGGAGGCAGCAGUGGGGAAUAUUGGACAAUGGGCGCAAGCCUGAUCCAGCCAUGCCGCGUGAGUGAUGAAGGUCUUAGGAUUGUAAAGCUCUUUCAGUAGGGAAGAUAAUGACGGUACCUACAGAAGAAGCCCCGGCUAACUUCGUGCCAGCAGCCGCGGUAAUACGAAGGGGGCUAGCGUUGUUCGGAAUUACUGGGCGUAAAGCGCACGUAGGCGGAUAUUUAAGUCAGGGGUGAAAUCCCAGAGCUCAACUCUGGAACUGCCUUUGAUACUGGGUAUCUUGAGUAUGGAAGAGGUAAGUGGAAUUGCGAGUGUAGAGGUGAAAUUCGUAGAUAUUCGCAGGAACACCAGUGGCGAAGGCGGCUUACUGGUCCAUAACUGACGCUGAGGUGCGAAAGCGUGGGGAGCAAACAGGAUUAGAUACCCUAGUAGUCC